This 2928-nucleotide ribosomal RNA is filed under the name Staphylococcus aureus. Its description in RNAcentral is "23S ribosomal RNA". It matches the Rfam family "Bacterial large subunit ribosomal RNA". Lineage: Bacteria; Bacillati; Bacillota; Bacilli; Caryophanales; Staphylococcaceae. The record is from RNAcentral.
UUAAGUUAUUAAGGGCGCACGGUGGAUGCCUUGGCACUAGAAGCCGAUGAAGGACGUUACUAACGACGAUAUGCUUUGGGGAGCUGUAAGUAAGCUUUGAUCCAGAGAUUUCCGAAUGGGGAAACCCAGCAUGAGUUAUGUCAUGUUAUCGAUAUGUGAAUACAUAGCAUAUCAGAAGGCACACCCGGAGAACUGAAACAUCUUAGUACCCGGAGGAAGAGAAAGAAAAUUCGAUUCCCUUAGUAGCGGCGAGCGAAACGGGAAGAGCCCAAACCAACAAGCUUGCUUGUUGGGGUUGUAGGACACUCUAUACGGAGUUACAAAGGACGACAUUAGACGAAUCAUCUGGAAAGAUGAAUCAAAGAAGGUAAUAAUCCUGUAGUCGAAAAUGUUGUCUCUCUUGAGUGGAUCCUGAGUACGACGGAGCACGUGAAAUUCCGUCGGAAUCUGGGAGGACCAUCUCCUAAGGCUAAAUACUCUCUAGUGACCGAUAGUGAACCAGUACCGUGAGGGAAAGGUGAAAAGCACCCCGGAAGGGGAGUGAAAUAGAACCUGAAACCGUGUGCUUACAAGUAGUCAGAGCCCGUUAAUGGGUGAUGGCGUGCCUUUUGUAGAAUGAACCGGCGAGUUACGAUUUGAUGCAAGGUUAAGCAGUAAAUGUGGAGCCGUAGCGAAAGCGAGUCUGAAUAGGGCGUUUAGUAUUUGGUCGUAGACCCGAAACCAGGUGAUCUACCCUUGGUCAGGUUGAAGUUCAGGUAACACUGAAUGGAGGACCGAACCGACUUACGUUGAAAAGUGAGCGGAUGAACUGAGGGUAGCGGAGAAAUUCCAAUCGAACCUGGAGAUAGCUGGUUCUCUCCGAAAUAGCUUUAGGGCUAGCCUCAAGUGAUGAUUAUUGGAGGUAGAGCACUGUUUGGACGAGGGGCCCCUCUCGGGUUACCGAAUUCAGACAAACUCCGAAUGCCAAUUAAUUUAACUUGGGAGUCAGAACAUGGGUGAUAAGGUCCGUGUUCGAAAGGGAAACAGCCCAGACCACCAGCUAAGGUCCCAAAAUAUAUGUUAAGUGGAAAAGGAUGUGGCGUUGCCCAGACAACUAGGAUGUUGGCUUAGAAGCAGCCAUCAUUUAAAGAGUGCGUAAUAGCUCACUAGUCGAGUGACACUGCGCCGAAAAUGUACCGGGGCUAAACAUAUUACCGAAGCUGUGGAUUGUCCUUUGGACAAUGGUAGGAGAGCGUUCUAAGGGCGUUGAAGCAUGAUCGUAAGGACAUGUGGAGCGCUUAGAAGUGAGAAUGCCGGUGUGAGUAGCGAAAGACGGGUGAGAAUCCCGUCCACCGAUUGACUAAGGUUUCCAGAGGAAGGCUCGUCCGCUCUGGGUUAGUCGGGUCCUAAGCUGAGGCCGACAGGCGUAGGCGAUGGAUAACAGGUUGAUAUUCCUGUACCACCUAUAAUCGUUUUAAUCGAUGGGGGGACGCAGUAGGAUAGGCGAAGCGUGCGAUUGGAUUGCACGUCUAAGCAGUAAGGCUGAGUAUUAGGCAAAUCCGGUACUCAUUAAGGCUGAGCUGUGAUGGGGAGAAGACAUUGUGUCUUCGAGUCGUUGAUUUCACACUGCCGAGAAAAGCCUCUAGAUAGAAAAUAGGUGCCCGUACCGCAAACCGACACAGGUAGUCAAGAUGAGAAUUCUAAGGUGAGCGAGCGAACUCUCGUUAAGGAACUCGGCAAAAUGACCCCGUAACUUCGGGAGAAGGGGUGCUCUUUAGGGUUAACGCCCAGAAGAGCCGCAGUGAAUAGGCCCAAGCGACUGUUUAUCAAAAACACAGGUCUCUGCUAAACCGUAAGGUGAUGUAUAGGGGCUGACGCCUGCCCGGUGCUGGAAGGUUAAGAGGAGUGGUUAGCUUCUGCGAAGCUACGAAUCGAAGCCCCAGUAAACGGCGGCCGUAACUAUAACGGUCCUAAGGUAGCGAAAUUCCUUGUCGGGUAAGUUCCGACCCGCACGAAAGGCGUAACGAUUUGGGCACUGUCUCAACGAGAGACUCGGUGAAAUCAUAGUACCUGUGAAGAUGCAGGUUACCCGCGACAGGACGGAAAGACCCCGUGGAGCUUUACUGUAGCCUGAUAUUGAAAUUCGGCACAGCUUGUACAGGAUAGGUAGGAGCCUUUGAAACGUGAGCGCUAGCUUACGUGGAGGCGCUGGUGGGAUACUACCCUAGCUGUGUUGGCUUUCUAACCCGCACCACUUAUCGUGGUGGGAGACAGUGUCAGGCGGGCAGUUUGACUGGGGCGGUCGCCUCCUAAAAGGUAACGGAGGCGCUCAAAGGUUCCCUCAGAAUGGUUGGAAAUCAUUCAUAGAGUGUAAAGGCAUAAGGGAGCUUGACUGCGAGACCUACAAGUCGAGCAGGGUCGAAAGACGGACUUAGUGAUCCGGUGGUUCCGCAUGGAAGGGCCAUCGCUCAACGGAUAAAAGCUACCCCGGGGAUAACAGGCUUAUCUCCCCCAAGAGUUCACAUCGACGGGGAGGUUUGGCACCUCGAUGUCGGCUCAUCGCAUCCUGGGGCUGUAGUCGGUCCCAAGGGUUGGGCUGUUCGCCCAUUAAAGCGGUACGCGAGCUGGGUUCAGAACGUCGUGAGACAGUUCGGUCCCUAUCCGUCGUGGGCGUAGGAAAUUUGAGAGGAGCUGUCCUUAGUACGAGAGGACCGGGAUGGACAUACCUCUGGUGUACCAGUUGUCGUGCCAACGGCAUAGCUGGGUAGCUAUGUGUGGACGGGAUAAGUGCUGAAAGCAUCUAAGCAUGAAGCCCCCCNCCCCCCUCAAGAUGAGAUUUCCCAACUUCGGUUAUAAGAUCCCUCAAAGAUGAUGAGGUUAAUAGGUUCGAGGUGGAAGCAUGGUGACAUGUGGAGCUGACGAAUACUAAUCGAUCGAAGACUUAAUCAA